This 698-nucleotide ribosomal RNA is filed under the name uncultured Bacillus sp. RNAcentral describes it as "bacterial SSU rRNA". It matches the Rfam family "Bacterial small subunit ribosomal RNA", at positions 57 to 738 of the family's 1533-position model. Lineage: Bacteria; Bacillati; Bacillota; Bacilli; Caryophanales; Bacillaceae. The record is from RNAcentral.
GCAAGUCGAGCGAACUGAUUAGAAGCUUGCUUCUAUGACGUUAGCGGCGGACGGGUGAGUAACACGUGGGCAACCUGCCUGUAAGACUGGGAUAACUUCGGGAAACCGAAGCUAAUACCGGAUAGGAUCUUCUCCUUCAUGGGAGAUGAUUGAAAGAUGGUUUCGGCUAUCACUUACAGAUGGGCCCGCGGUGCAUUAGCUAGUUGGUGAGGUAACGGCUCACCAAGGCAACGAUGCAUAGCCGACCUGAGAGGGUGAUCGGCCACACUGGGACUGAGACACGGCCCAGACUCCUACGGGAGGCAGCAGUAGGGAAUCUUCCGCAAUGGACGAAAGUCUGACGGAGCAACGCCGCGUGAGUGAUGAAGGCUUUCGGGUCGUAAAACUCUGUUGUUAGGGAAGAACAAGUACAAGAGUAACUGCUUGUACCUUGACGGUACCUAACCAGAAAGCCACGGCUAACUACGUGCCAGCAGCCGCGGUAAUACGUAGGUGGCAAGCGUUAUCCGGAAUUAUUGGGCGUAAAGCGCGCGCAGGCGGUUUCUUAAGUCUGAUGUGAAAGCCCACGGCUCAACCGUGGAGGGUCAUUGGAAACUGGAACUUGAGUGCAGAAGAGAAAAGCGGAAUUCCACGUGUAGCGGUGAAAUGCGUAGAGAUGUGGAGGAACACCAGUGGCGAAGGCGGCUUUUUGGUCUGUA